CGGGACGGGUGAGUAAUGUCUGGGAAACUGCCUGAUGGAGGGGGAUAACUGCUGGAAACGGUAGCUAAUACCGCAUAACGUCGCAAGACCAAAGAGGGGGACCUUCGGGCCUCUUGCCAUCGGAUGUGCCCAGAUGGGAUUAGUUAGUAGGUGGGGUAACGGCUCACCUAGGCGACGAUCCCUAGCUGGUCUGAGAGGAUGACCAGCCACACUGGAACUGAGACACGGUCCAG
Molecule: ribosomal RNA, 233 nt
Filed under: uncultured bacterium
Lineage: Bacteria
Description: partial 16S ribosomal RNA
Rfam family: Bacterial small subunit ribosomal RNA
Source: RNAcentral